CAGCCGCCACGGGAAAACGAAGGGGGCUAGCGUUGCUCGGAAUGACUGGGCGUAAAGGGCGCGUAGGCGGUUUUGACAGUCAGAUGUGAAAUUCCUGGGCUUAACCUGGGGGCUGCAUUUGAGGCGUCAAGACUAGAGUGUGAGAGAGGGUUGUGGAAUUCCCAGUGUAGAGGUGAAAUUCGUAGGUAUUGGGAAGAACACCGGUGGCGAAGGCGGCAACCUGGCUCAUUACUGACGCUGAGGCGCGAAAGCGUGGGGAGCAAACAGGAUUAGAGACCCCUGUAGUCCCUGUCUCUUAUAC
This 301-nucleotide ribosomal RNA is filed under the name uncultured bacterium. RNAcentral describes it as "partial 16S ribosomal RNA". It matches the Rfam family "Bacterial small subunit ribosomal RNA", at positions 509 to 807 of the family's 1533-position model. The record is from RNAcentral.